GAUUCUUCCCAACUCUUCCAGGUAUAUUUUCUUUUAGAUUUUAGACUUCGCUACAAAAAUUCUUUCAAUUUUUACAGGCUUGAAUUUACGACUCGAUUUCCGGUCAGGUCUUCAUAAUUCUGUCUAAUUCUCUUCCCAAGCUGAAAUUCAUGGGUGAUGUGAAGGUUUAUACUAGAAAAUAACUGAUUAAUGUCUAAAGAUUAUCGAACAUUAUAGUCUGGGUUCAGUUACUCUGUACUAUUGCUCUUCCUUCUCUUUGUGUCACUCCUCUGUAUUUAUGAUAUCGAAAUUCUCUCUGGUUGGUUUAUAGUGAUUUGACCUUUCAGCAUAGAUUGAAAUCAAUUGAGGGCUCCUCUUCUGCUCGCUCUGUGGAGCUAAAACCUAACAACAAUGAACAAAAAAAAGGGAGGAUAGAGUGUACCCGAUCUUACCUCUAAAUUGUUAGAUAGGGAAAUUGUUUCCAAUAAACCCUUGACUUAAUGAAAGCAAAAUCACAACAUUAAUCUCACGUCAAAAAAAAAAAAACUUAUGUGAACUCACAAAUUUGUUUUUGAUAUUCUCCUUUACGAUAAGAAAAUUAUUGUGGCUAGUUCUCUUCAUUACUUUUUGCUAUUAAUUGCUUAAAACAAGAAUGUUAAAGAUGAAAUUUACAUUCAUUUACAUUAAUUAAGUAACAAUAUUGAUGAACAAAUUUUCCAUUUUUGUAUCAUUUGACAUUGGCAGAUAGUGAUGAAUUGUUGGUAGCAUAACAUUCCAACUCAACAUUUUGUCAGACCUUUCUUUAAGAGAACAUGAAAGUCAAAUAUAUUCUUAAAAACAAGCUAAAAGAAAGACAUAUUUGUUCGAUUUUUUAUUUUUUUUUUGUGUUUAAGCAGUGGACUGUUAUGUUGGAUGAGUAACACGGGCAGAUAUUAUAUUCCGACAUAUAAUCUUUGAAGAAAUUGGCUUAAAGACUUACAAGUCAUCGUCCGCUAGUUACAUUACUGUAUCCCUUUUUUCCUUAGGUGGAAUGAAAUAUUGAUGGAUAUUCGCUCAUUAUCUUAAUGUGAUCGUAAACUAUUGUGUACCUAACAAGUUUGAAAAUAGCAGAAGAGACAACUAAUCACUAACUCGGAAUAUUAACCUUUCAUGAUUAUAUAAAUUCCAUGGAAAAAAUGCAUCAAAAUUUAAUGUAUUUAUACAACUUGGUUUCCUCUAUUCCGAAUGUACACUAAUUGUCCUCACAAUUGGUUCAAUGACGUGUCUUGACCUUUUAUGAUUAUAUAAAUUCCGUGGAAAAAUUGCACUAAAAUCCUCAAUUGACUUGAUCAUAUAAUAGUUUCUCUCAUUGAAAAGUAUUGUGAAAACAGAAGAAGAGACAACUAAUCACUAACUCGGAAUAUUAACCUUUCAUGAUUAUAUAAAUUCCAUGGAAAAAUUGCAUCAAAAUUUAAUGUAUUUAUACAACUUGGUUUCCUCUAUUCCGAAUGUAUACCAAUUGUCCUCACAAUUGGUUCAAUGACGUGUCUUGACCUUUUAUGAUUAUAUAAAUUCCGUGGAAAAAUUGCAUUGAUCAUAUAAUAGUUUCUCUCAUUGAAAAGUAUUGUGAAAACAGAAGAAGAGAUGUUGAUGGAAAGUUGGACUAAUCAUCAUAUAUCUAUCUAUCCAUCUAUAUUAUCUUUAAAACAAUAUUAAAUUAUUAUAAUAUUUUCAACUUAAAACACUCAAUUUAGUAUAUUUUCUAUAUACUAUAAUAUAUUAUAUUUAUUUAAUUUAAAAUAUAGUGUACUACAUGAUUUGGCAUUCACGUGCAAUGCAUCAAAAUUAGUACUAUCUUAUAAAUAUGAACUAUCUAACUUAAAUGUUAAAUUACUAUAAUACCCCAACUAAAAAUAUUCAAUUUAGUAUAUUUUCUAUAUUUUAUAUUUAUAUUUAUAUUUAUUUAUUUGUUUAUUUAUAUUAUAUUAAAAAUAAAUUUUGUUGUGACUUUCCUGAUGAGUUGUGACUUUUUCGAAGAAUUGUGACUCUUCUAAAGAUCAGUUUCUCUAUUAUGAUCAGAAUUUCUGUUGUGGAUAUUGAUAUUUCUUUUUUAAAAUCAAGAAAAAAGUGUAGACUCACACAUUCUACGUGAUAUAAUACAUAUAUAUAGGACGUUACAUAGGACACAAAAUUGUCAUGUAGGAUGAAUGUGUGUAUUAGAUCAAAUUUAUAUAAAUUUAGUGUUUACUUGUGCAUACUCAAAGUUAAAGAACAUAUAUGUCAACUGAGGUCAAGUUAAAUGUCAUAUUUAUUUAUUAUAACUUUAGAAAGUCAUAAACCAUUUUAUUGUGAUCACUAGUAAUUGAUGAAUCACACAAACAUAUGAUGAUGCUUCAUCUACAAAUAUAUAGACUCACACAUCCUAUAUAACAUAAUACACAUGUAUAGAACGUUACAUAAACACAAGGUAGAAAAACUGAAAAAUGUGUACUACUCCACUAGAACUGUAUCAUAUUUGUCCUUUUUCCCACCUGUAGUCUUUGUGGAAAUAAUUGGCUUACAGACUUUGGCUUAAAAGAACAAAAUAAAAUUCCACACGAUAUUAUAACUAUAAAUGUUAGUAACACGUUUUUCUAUUUUCGGAUAGGAAUUAUAUUUAUAAAUGUAUGUCACUAAAUUAUUAAUAAAAUAAUGUUCUUUAAUAACAUUGUAGUAUUUUUUUUUCUCAAAGUAUUUCUCUCUUAUUUUCUUAAUUUCUUUAUUAAAGAACCAACAUGAACCAAUUUCACAUCAUCUUACGUAACACACACUGCAGAGAUAAUUAAUGACCUCGAAAUGAACACAGCAUCAAGAGAAAAUUAGGACAUAGAAAGUAUCAUUUUGUUAAGUCUUCUCCGUCCUCUAAGAAGUCAUGUGGAACACUGCUAUAAAUGACACGUUUCCAACUUGUUAGUUUGUUUUUCAUGUUCUCUGACGAAUAAAGCUCGAAUAUCACUUGAUGAGCUUCGCUAUCAUUGUUCAUCUUUGUUCUUCGCAAUCCAAUUUCAGUGGAUUUUGGUGUUUAAAGUUAUGGUAAAGUUGCUUUAGGAAUUUGAAGGAAAUGGAAGAAGAGGUUACUUUAGGAUUUGAAGAAAUUGGGAGAGUAUAGGAGAAAGGGGAAAGGAAUUAUAAAAAAGAUUGAAAAAAAUAUUAAAUUAAUCAAAUUUCCAUGUGUCAAGCGCGUGAAAUUCAUAGAUCAACAUAGAUGUGGUUGUGGCCUUUUAAGGGUGUAAUUAUUUCAGUUUUAAAUAGUUCAGGGGGGUGAUAGAACUCCCGUAAAGUUAAAGUGUGUAGUUGGAAAUCCGGAUAUAGAUUAGGGAGGCUUUUGACUAUUUUCUCAAAUAUAAAUGAAAUAAGAAAUAAAAUAUAAUAAUGAAGAGAGAGAAAAAUAUUUUUUUUUGGUGUAAAAUUUGGUGCAGUGGGUUGAAGUUGAUUUACACUAAAAUAGUGCUGACACCAAAUUUGGUGUAAAAUUUGAUGUUUGGGUUGAAGAUGUCCUUAGUCGGAUUUUUUUUUAUUUGACUCAAUUUGCAAUUUGAUUUGAUUUUCAAUUCAAUUUUGUACCUACUUUUUUCUUUUGACAAUUUUUUUGUUUACUUAUAGUUUUUAUGUUGCAAUUUUUGGGAUUCGACUAAAAUAUCUAGUACUUUUAAUUUUAAAAAGAAUAUCAUUGUUUCAAUUAAAUUCUUCUGACAAUUGUUAUUUUUAGAUGAUGUUUCAGUUUACUUUGUGUAAUCUUGAAUAUAUAAAUUAUUGGAAUUUUUUUUUCUACGCUUUGAUAACAUAUGAGUUGAACAUUAUAUUUUAAUUAAUUAAUAGACAAGAAAAAGGAGGAGAGGAACAUGUUUGUCUAAAGUUUACCUACACUAACUCAUGUUAAAAUAUAUAUUUUUAAAUGUCUAUAGGUGAAACAAGUACAUCCAAAUAGGGUAUUAUCCCACAAUUUUUACAAGAAAAUGAAAAUCAAGUCCUUACAACUCACAAAUUUAGAAUAUUUUUUUUUGUUUUCUCAUUUUAUUUUAUUUUUAAAAUUUGUGAAUUUAAACCUAAAUGACAUUUGUAUAGCUAUACCAUUUCUUAAAAGUUAAAAGUUAUAUUAUUUUCCAAUUAUUACUCUUUAUUAGAAGUGGCACUUGAGGGUGUACGAACACUGCUAUAUGCAGUUGUACAAAAUGCACCAAUAGUUGUAUUUUUUUUAAGGAUAAUUUCGUAAUUUUAUCUUAUCACUCUAUAUUACUUUAUGUCAACACCAAUAGUUUGGGCUUUGUGGGCUUAUUUGAUUGGCUAUUAGACACGUAAGUACUUCUCUUUGAUGUUAGAUUUUUGAGCGACUUUCACAUAUAGCAAACACAAAAUUUAUAUUUGUAUGUUAUAGCAAAAUUUGCAUUGUUGUGCUCCAUAGCAAACAUAUAUAUGUAUAAUUCGCUAUACAUAUACAAAAAAAAAUAUACAUAUACAAAGAAAGCAGUUGUAUAAAUUCGCUAUACAUAUACAAAAGAAAGCAGUUGUAUACAAAAGAUCAAUUGUAUAAUUUGUGUAUGUAUAAAACGAGAAAGAGAGAAAGGCAAAAGAAAACUGGACAGGGAAAGAUUUGUAUUGUAUAAUUAUAAGUGUAUAGGACGAAGAUAUAUGUAUUUGCAUGUGUAUAUACAAUUUUCUCUCGCUUUAUACAAACAGAAGCGCAAUUUAUACAUUUCGUUUCUGUUUGUAUAAACGAGAGAGGCGAGGGUGGCGAGCGAGAUUUGGGAGAGUGGCGAGCGAGAUCUGGGAGAGGGGAGAGAGGAACGAAAAUAUAUGUAUAUAUACAAUUUCCUCUCUCUUUAUACAAACACAAACGCAUUUUAUACAUUUGUGUUUGUAUAAAAGCGAGAGAGGCGAGCGAGACAGCCACCAAACGAGAGUGGCGAGCGAGAUUCCAACAGGGAGAGUGGUGAAAAUAGCAAUAGUUUGCUAUAGGGUACAAUUAAAUCAAAGUAUAUUUAUAGCAUUUAAUUUGAAUUAAUAGUUUGAUAUUAUAUAUAAUUUUCCCUAGAUUUUUCUCCGCACAAACAUAGGUCUAUUGAGGGCAUCUUCAACCCUACACUCUAUUUUACUCUCCAAAUAUAGAGUUCUCUAUUUUUCCAGCCAACCAACUCCAACUAAAUUCUUUAUUUUACUCUCUAAAAAAGAAUCUUUUUUUCUCUCCUUGAUAUUAUAUUAUUAUUUCUAUUUCUAUUUCUAUUUCAUUUUCUUAUUUCACAAUAUAAAUCCCUUCUCUUUUUUUUUUCAAAAUAAUCACCCUAUAUAAUUUUCAUGUAAUAUAAAAUUAUUAUUUUUUAAAAUUCUUUAUUUAAUAUAAAAAUUAUAUUUUAUUGUAAAUUUUAAAGAACAACUACGAAAAACUGAAAAUAGAAAUCAACAAGCACAACCGCAAUCACAAACACAACAAUUUUCUAGAUCAUACAUUUUUUUUUCCAAAUAUUGUUAAAUCUAAAAACGACCUGCCGGAUUACUAAAUUAUUGUUGUGAUUUUAAAAAACAUUAUGUUAUGUAUUGUAUUGCUAUCUUGUAUUUAAAUUAUUAUGUCAUAUAUGGUAUUUUUAAAUUAAAUUUUCAUUUUAUCAUUUAAAUUUUGUGCAUUCUUCGUAGUGAAAAUCAAUAAUAAUAUCAAAUUAUCUCUUAGAGAGCUUAGUACCAAGAGUUUGCCGCUUUAAAAAAUGUUGGAAGUUUAAUGAAAUUGAAGUAUGGGCUUCCCUCCGCUUAUUGUUAUCUUUUGCUUUUUAUCUAUAAUGUUUUGUUCCCGUGUGGAGAAGGGGUUACCAGUUAAAUGUUUUUUAGAAUUUUAUUGAUCUUUUUGUAAUGGUAUUUCAUUUACUUGCAUGUGUAAUUCUACAGUAGCAUUACUACUAUUUAUCUAACUUUUUUGUCCUUCUGUUUCAGAGAAAAAAGUGGCAUUCAGCACUCUCUGCAUUAAGAAACAUUCGGUGGAAACCAUUUUUGAUCGGUGGAGAUAAAAUUUUGACACUCAAGUCAAGGUACAUGACUACAUAAUGACGCUAAUAACUAUAUUAGUACUAUUGUUUUCUGAAAAUAAUCUGAAGAUCUUUGAACUUUUUUAUGUUUUCGCACAAGAUUGAAUCAAAUAGCAAGGGAUCAUGAAAUUACUUGAUCUCUCGAACUCUUUAGUGUUUGUGAAUAGUAAGAAGAAUGGAGUAAAUGUUGCUAGCAAUGCUCUUGUGGAAGUUCCCAGCUGCACCCAGGAAGCUAUGAUGUACACUACAACUUGCAUUAGCUAUGCGUCCUAGGCUCGAUGUGUGAAACUACCUGUCAUGGAAUCUUAAGACACUGAAAUGGCUGAAUUAAGAAUCUCUGAGUACUUUCAAUUGAAAGAGGUACUCUACGAUUUUGCAGUGUAUGAAGUUGACAAGUCCUACAUAUUUUGAUACAUAUAACAAGUGAGAUUUUGAGGCAAAAUAUGUUUGAGUCACAGGAGACUGGUCAAAAAGUUGCAAAAUUAUUGAAGAAGUAUAUUUUGCUCUUAUAUUUCUUUCAUGGCACGAAUUGGAGUAGGUAAUUGCAUCCUACAUGUUCUAUGUUGGAUUUCGCCUCAUGAAUCAACAAUCGACUUCCCCAUGUGUAUGGUAAAUACAUUUUGAUUAUAAUAUGUUUGCGAUUACAUAUGAAUGAAGCCGGAAGGGAAAUAAGGAAUCGAAACAAAGGGCCCAUAUAAGAGAGAUCACCAUUAGUGGUCUGGCUAAACACAAAGCCUUAAGAAUACGUAGAUUCGUCAAAUGAACUUUACAUAAGCAUCCUUAUAGGUGAAUUGAUACUCAUAAGGUUGAGAUGUAGGUAUUUUUAUGAGAAAACCAGAUAUUAAGAGAAUACAAAAAUUACCCAUUCGUCUACAUUUUCAAACAGUUGUAAGGUGUCCAUAAGUACAGAACAUGUUUGAGGAAGAACAUUGCAUUAAACUAUUAUAAAAGUUUUACAAAGUCUGCUCCACAUUUGGCCUCGACUGAAUAAGCAUAGUCUCUUCCUCUUUCUACUAAACUGUUGUUGUAGACUUCAAGUUCCUAGUGGUGUUCAUGUUUGUUACACACUUUAAUGUUCUUUGAGUUCUUUUGUUUUAAAAUUAAGUAAUGUGGCAGUUAACUACUCUCCAGAUUGAGCAUGGAUAAAACUUCUAUUGAAAACAGAAGGACAAUAAAACGAAAAGUGGGAUAACAGGUACAACCAAAAUGGAAGGGGAAGUGACAUAAAGGAGCACAUGAAACGGUAAGACAAAAAAAGGUCCUUCUAUGUGAUUUUUUGUCAAUUCGAAUUUAUGGAUACGUAAUUUAAUCUAUAUAUCAAUUUAGUCCUAAAAAAAUUAUUUUGUUUAGAAUUAACAGAUACCCAAUAUAAUGACCACAUAAUUGACACGACCAUUGUAAGUUCAAUUUGCAGAGAAAUAACAUGUGUCGUACAAGAGACCUAUGCUAAGUUAUAAGAAAACUAAAUCAAACUCCAUGAUAUAUUUUUUCUCCCGAGGAAUCAUUUUGUGGGUUACUAUUGCAGAUAAUGAAGAAUAUAACUAUAUCUCCUUUCAAUUUUUGGUACUCUUUCCAAAUUUGAUCAGAUCAUAUGUCAUGUAUGAACAAAGAUGUUACCAUCUUCCUUUAUUUUCUUUUAAGAAAGUUGCAUCAUAGUUCAGGAGGAAGUAGUUGAUAAUCAAUUGAUGUUACUGAAGAACAAAUCCGGGGAGAAAACUAUAGUGCUACUUGAUGCUAAGAUGUAUCUACGUAUAGAUUUUUCGAGUCAUUUAUGUAUAUAAAUUUGCGGCUUGUGAUGUUCCAUUAUGAUAAUAUUAUCUAUCAUAUCAUGAAAAUUCACAUGAGAUAUUAUGACCAAAAACAGAUUGUUCGAGCAUUUAAAUUAAUGAAACUCUAAGUUUUUUUGUGAUCAACUAUAGAAAGAAAGGGGCAAAAGUUUAAAAAUGUAUUAUGUGUGAACAGUUGAAGGAUAAUACAACCAUUAAUUUAGUAAUUUCAACAGUUGAAGUUGCAAAC
This 8024-nucleotide long non-coding RNA is filed under the name Solanum tuberosum (potato). RNAcentral's name for it is "long non-coding RNA (STUB_LNC006111)". Lineage: Eukaryota; Viridiplantae; Streptophyta; Magnoliopsida; Solanales; Solanaceae. The record is from RNAcentral.